RNAcentral lists this small nucleolar RNA (123 nucleotides) under Sorex araneus (European shrew). RNAcentral's name for it is "Small nucleolar RNA SNORA77 (ENSSARG00000019918.1)". Lineage: Eukaryota; Metazoa; Chordata; Mammalia; Eulipotyphla; Soricidae. The record is from RNAcentral.
GAAGACUCACUCUGCACCCUGCUGCAGCACCGUGCACGGGGUGGGGGGGCGCUUUUUCCAUCUGCCACAGAAAUGUCACUGCUUUGACCUAUCAGAGUGGCAGAGCUGCCUGGGGAAAAAAAA